AGUGAGGAAUAUUGGUCAAUGGGCGAGAGCCUGAACCAGCCAAGUCGCGUGAAGGAUGAAGGUCUUAUGGAUUGUAAACUUCUUUUAUAAGGGAAUAAAAAAGAUCACGUGUGGUUUAUUGCAUGUAUCUUAUGAAUAAGCAUCGGCUAACUCCGUGCCAGCAGCCGCGGUAAUACGGAGGAUGCGAGCGUUAUCCGGAUUUAUUGGGUUUAAAGGGUGCGUAGGCGGUUUAUUAAGUCAGUGGUGAAAGUUUUCGGCUCAACCGGAAAAUUGCCAUUGAAACUGAUAGACUUGAGUGUAAACGAGGUAGGCGGAAUUCGUGGUGUAGCGGUGAAAUGCUUAGAUAUCACGAAGAACUCCAAUUGCGAAGGCAGCUUACUAGGCUACAACUGACGCUGAAGCACGAAAGCGUGGGGAUCAAA
RNAcentral lists this ribosomal RNA (422 nucleotides) under uncultured Macellibacteroides sp. Its description in RNAcentral is "bacterial SSU rRNA". It matches the Rfam family "Bacterial small subunit ribosomal RNA", at positions 353 to 772 of the family's 1533-position model. The record is from RNAcentral. Lineage: Bacteria; Pseudomonadati; Bacteroidota; Bacteroidia; Bacteroidales; Porphyromonadaceae.